GGUUUCUCCAAAAUCAGUAGCCCAGACCAAAGUAAAGUGUAUAUUGACACUAACAGUAAAUAACCUCUAUGUAUCUAUAAUGCUUUUAAAUUAGCCCAUCCUAAUCCUGAUAUUCUUCUGAGACUUGUGUUUCAACCUAUAUGUACUUACUGUAUUUCUUCAGCGGGAACAUCAUUAACAUCAAAAAGCUGAACGUAAGAAUUCAAAGUACUUACACACAUUUAAAGUGCACAUAUUACAAAUAUUGCAAGAAGCCUACCUUUAAAAAGACAUCUAGAUCUAUCACUCCACGCCUUAAUGCUUCCCCAAGAUAAAAGAUGGUGUCUUCAAUUGCAUUUUCCUCUGCAUAUAAGUUCAGGAUCUGCUUGUAAAGUGGUGCCGUAGGAAUGAUAACUUCAUCUAUGUCAUUAUUUUCUGAUUGACUUUCCAUUUUCUCUAAGGCGGAACUGAGCUCCUCGUCCUUCUUUUUGAGAAGUUCAAUGUUCUUGUCAACUUCAGCCACUUCUUGAUCCAGACGAGUUACCAUCUCUUCCAGUUUCUGGUGUCCUUUCUUCAGGUCCUCUUCUGUGCGCUUCAAGGCAUUGAGUUCAGCUUGAGCACGAUCCAUUUCUUCUUUCAUCCGCCAUCUCAGUUUAUCACUGACUGCUGAAAUAAGGGAAGCUCGAAUGGUGUCUUCACUGAUAGUUCCAUCUCUACUGGGUCCAACUGUAGUCACAGGGGGCUGAGAAGGAUAGUAUGGAACAUUAGUGGUAGGUGGGAAUGGAACACCAGCUGGAUAAGGAUAGCUUGGGAAGCUUGGGUUUGCAGUGCUUCCAGUUGGAUAAGGAGAUAUUCCUGGCAUGCCA
Molecule: long non-coding RNA, 845 nt
Filed under: Gallus gallus (chicken)
Lineage: Eukaryota; Metazoa; Chordata; Aves; Galliformes; Phasianidae
Source: RNAcentral